CGGGGGAUCGUAAAGAUUUUAUCGGAGAGUAUUUGCACUCGGAAGGGUUAAGAUGAAUAUUAAAUAAUCGGACAUAGUACGAUAAGGUUGUAUGUCUAAAGGGAAACAGCCCAGAACAAGUGUUAAUAAGGUUCCAAAAUUAUUGUUGAGUGAAAAUAAGGAUGUGUCUUUUAAUACAAUCNUUUGAUAGGCUUAGAAGCGGCCAUUUUUUAAUGAUCUCGUAACAGAGCGUUGAUUUAUUUAGUAGAUCCCCCCGAAAAUAUAACGGAUCUAAACAAUAUAGCGAAACCCUGUCUAUGNAUAGUAUUUAUAUAUAAAUACAUAAAUAUACAUGGGGUACGGAACNUUGGAUAUAUUUUGAGUUAAUCUUUUUAAGAUUAACUAAGUAAUAUUCCNAGAGAUAAUGCUGACAUGAGUAACGAUAAGACGAAAAACGUGCCGCCUUAUAGCUUAUGGUAUUGAAUAAAAUUACGGCUUCUAAGUGGAAAAUAUGAUAAUUAAUCAUAAUUAUAACCCCAUGAAUUUACUUAAUAAAAAAACUAAUUAAAGUUUAAUUAGUUCGGAAAAAUAAAGCACUUGCAAAAAAAACCGACCUAAAUACUAACCCACAGUGAGCAAGUAGAGA
This 625-nucleotide ribosomal RNA is filed under the name Berlesiella nigerrima. RNAcentral describes it as "partial large subunit ribosomal RNA". The stretch from base 1 to 411 matches the Rfam family "Bacterial large subunit ribosomal RNA", at positions 921 to 1301 of the family's 2925-position model. The record is from RNAcentral. Lineage: Eukaryota; Fungi; Ascomycota; Eurotiomycetes; Chaetothyriales; Herpotrichiellaceae.